GCACAAGCAGCGGAGCGUGUGGUUUAAUUCGAUGCUACACGAAGAACCUUACCAGGGUUUGACAUACAAGUAGUAGGGAAAGGAAACUGGACCGACCCUUCGGGGAGCUUGUACAGGUGCUGCAUGGCUGUCGUCAGCUCGUGUCGUGAGAUGUUCGGUUAAGUCCGCUAACGAGCGCAACCCUCGCUGUGUGUUACAAGUGUCACACGGAACUGCCGGUCACAAACCGGAGGAAGGUGGGAUGACGUCAAGUCAGCAUGGCCUUUAUAUCCUGGGCUACACACACGCUACAAUGGGAAGGGACAAUAGGUUGCGAAGCCGCGAGGCGGAGCCAAUCCAGCAAAACUUCCCUCAGUCCAGACUGCAGGCUGCAACUCGCCUGCAUGAAGUUGGAGUUGCUAGUAAACGCAGGUCAGCCAUACUGCGUUGAAUACGUUCCCGGGGCUU
RNAcentral lists this ribosomal RNA (447 nucleotides) under uncultured Anaerolineaceae bacterium. RNAcentral describes it as "bacterial SSU rRNA". It matches the Rfam family "Bacterial small subunit ribosomal RNA", at positions 923 to 1382 of the family's 1533-position model. The record is from RNAcentral. Lineage: Bacteria; Bacillati; Chloroflexota; Anaerolineae; Anaerolineales; Anaerolineaceae.